This 394-nucleotide long non-coding RNA is filed under the name Bos taurus (domestic cattle). RNAcentral describes it as "long non-coding RNA NONBTAT020422". Lineage: Eukaryota; Metazoa; Chordata; Mammalia; Artiodactyla; Bovidae. The record is from RNAcentral.
GACUGUUACAUUCCAGAAAUCAAAAAGUCUUGGUUAGAGAGGUGGACACUGAACUUGCACUUGAACAACUGUUCUCUCUAUUUAAGAUUCUGUGAAGCAUCCUAUUUCCUGUCUAUCUUCUUUCUUCUUGUCCAUCUCACUCAUUCAUCUACUCAGCCAGUAACCAGGAAGCACAAUUUUUCAGGCACUUUCUUAGACUGGGUGAUGCUUAAUUAACCAUUUUUAUAUUUUUAAUGAAGUUUGGCAUUUUAUUCCUCCAGGAGAGAACUUUUUUACAUUCUGAAACUAAAUUGUGUUUGAAAAUAUUGGCGCCACCUCCUUCAGGCAUCAAACACUCAGAAUAAGCCAUUCCAGGAUACUUGCUUUUUCUCUAACUGAUGCCUUCCCUCUAAUU